This 391-nucleotide ribosomal RNA is filed under the name uncultured bacterium. RNAcentral's name for it is "partial 16S ribosomal RNA". It matches the Rfam family "Bacterial small subunit ribosomal RNA", at positions 523 to 917 of the family's 1533-position model. The record is from RNAcentral.
AUACGGAGGAUGCGAGCGUUAUCCGGAUUUAUUGGGUUUAAAGGGUGCGCAGGCGGCCAUUUAAGUCAGCGGUUAAAUCGUGGGGCUCAACCCCAUUCUGCCGUUGAUACUGGGUGGCUUGAUUGCGGUCGAGGUUGGCGGAAUUCGUUGUGUAGCGGUGAAAUGCAUAGAUAUGACGAAGAACACCGAUUGCGUAGGCAGCUGACCAGAUCGCAAAUGACGCUCAUGCACGAAAGUGCGGGGAUCGAACAGGAUUAGAUACCCUGGUAGUCCGCACAGUAAACGAUGAAUACUUGUUUUCGGCGAUAUAAUGUCGGAGGCAAAGCGAAAGCGAUAAGUAUUCCACCUGGGGAGUACGCCGGCAACGGUGAAACUCAAAGGAAUUGACGGG